GACGAACGCUGGCGGCGUGCCUAAUACAUGCAAGUAGAACGCUGAAGAGAGGAGCUUGCUCUUCUUGGAUGAGUUGCGAACGGGUGAGUAACGCGUAGGUAACCUGCCUGGUAGCGGGGGAUAACUAUUGGAAACGAUAGCUAAUACCGCAUAACAACAGUUGUUGCAUGACAGCUGUUUAAAAGAUGCAAUUGCAUCACUACCAGAUGGACCUGCGUUGUAUUAGCUAGUUGGUGAGGUAACGGCUCACCAAGGCGACGAUACAUAGCCGACCUGAGAGGGUGGUCGGCCAAACUGGGAAUGAGACACGGCCCAGACUCCCACGGGAGGGAGCAGGAGGGAAACUUCGGCAAUGGGGGGAACCCUGACCGAGCAACGCCGCGGGAGGGAAGAAGGGUUUCGGAUCGUAAAGCUCCGUUUUAAGAGAAGAACGGGUGUGAGAGUGGAAAGUUCACACUGUGACGGUAUCUUACCAGAAAGGGACGGCUAACUACGUG
Molecule: ribosomal RNA, 497 nt
Filed under: uncultured bacterium
Lineage: Bacteria
Description: partial 16S ribosomal RNA
Rfam family: Bacterial small subunit ribosomal RNA
Source: RNAcentral